AAGUCGUAACAAGGUUUCCGUAGGUGAACCUGCGGAAGGAUCAUUUUUGAGCGAGCCUUCAUGGCGAGCAUUUAAUAUCCAUAACACUGUGAACUGUUUGAUUCCCUUUUUUGGGAUCAUAUAUUUUUUACAAACUCUUGUGUAAUGAACGUAAAAUACUAUAAUCAAUAAAACUUUCAACAACGGAUCUCUUGGCUCUC
Molecule: unclassified non-coding RNA, 200 nt
Filed under: fungal sp.
Lineage: Eukaryota; Fungi
Description: partial internal transcribed spacer region
Rfam family: Eukaryotic small subunit ribosomal RNA (bases 1-46)
Source: RNAcentral